RNAcentral lists this ribosomal RNA (517 nucleotides) under uncultured bacterium. Its description in RNAcentral is "partial 16S ribosomal RNA". It matches the Rfam family "Bacterial small subunit ribosomal RNA", at positions 29 to 523 of the family's 1533-position model. The record is from RNAcentral.
AACGAACGCUGGCGGCGUGGAUAAGACAUGCAAGUCGAACGGGAUUUUUUUCUGUAGCAAUACAGGAAAAAGUCUAGUGGCGAACGGGUGCGUAACACGUGAGCAACCUGCCGUGAAGUGGGGGAUAGCUCGCCGAAAGGCGAAUUAAUACCGCAUGUGGCCAAGGAAGACAUCUUCCUGACGCCAAAGCCGGGGCAACCUGGCGCUUCUCGAGGGGCUCGCGGCCUAUCAGCUUGUUGGUGAGGUAACGGCUCACCAAGGCUAUGACCGGUAGCUGGUCUGAGAGGACGACCAGACACACUGGAACUGAGACACGGUCCAGACACCUACGGGUGGCAGCAGUCGAGAAUUUUUCACAAUGGGGGAAACCCUGAUGGGGCGACGCCGCGUGGAGGAUGAAGGUUUUCGGAUUGUAAACUCCUGUCAUUAGAGAACAAGGCACACGGUUUAACUGGCCGUGUGUUGAUAGUAUCUGAAGAGGAAGAGACGGCUAACUCUGUGCCAGCAGCAGCAGUAA